UACAUCCUAUAUUGUUGAAAAUGUUUAUGC
RNAcentral lists this non-coding RNA (30 nucleotides) under Mus musculus (house mouse). The record is from RNAcentral. Lineage: Eukaryota; Metazoa; Chordata; Mammalia; Rodentia; Muridae.